Non-coding RNA from Salmo salar (Atlantic salmon), 5263 nucleotides. NCBI's taxonomy places the organism in Eukaryota, Metazoa, Chordata, Actinopteri, Salmoniformes, Salmonidae. The record is from RefSeq and is a predicted model, not a curated record.
UUGUAAUUGUUAUUCUUAUUGUGUUACUUUUUAUUGUUACUUUUUAUUUUAGUCUGCUUGGUAAAUAUUUUCUUAACUCUUCUUGAACUGCACUGUUGGUUAAGGGCUUGUAAGUAAGCAUUUCACGGUAAAGUCUACACUUGUUGUAUUUGGGGCAUGUGACAAAGUUUGAUUUGAUUUGAAAUGUGAGCAGCAUUUUGUAUUUCUAGUUGAAUUAGUUAGGGAGCGUAAACAAAGUACACACUUUUUUUGCAUUCGAAUUUCAAUAGCUCCUUGAUCAUGUGACCUACUGACUUCAAACAAGGUUCAGAAUGUACACUCAGUGGGCCUUCACAUUGCACACCCUUUAAUUUGUCAAUUUUCAUCUCACGCAAUUUUACAUAAAUGUUCAAUGUUUCUCAUUUCAAUAGCUCCUUUGUAAUGUGACCUACUGACCUCAAACUACUUUCAGAAUGCCCACGGACUUGCGGAGACGGGCGCCGCGAGGCUUCCAGUGCGGUAACGCGACCGAUCCUUGAGAAGCUGGCGGGAGCCCCGGGGAGAGUUCUCUUUUCUUUGUGAAGGGCAGGGCGCCCUGGAAUGGGUUCGCCCUGAGAGAGGGGCCCAAGCCCUGGAAAGCGUUGCAGUUUCGGCGGUGUCCAGUGAGCUCUCCCUGGCCCUUGAAAAUCCGGGGGAGAGGGUGUAAAUCUCACGCCGGGCUGUACCCAUAUCCACAGCAGGUCUCCAAGGUGAACAGCCUCUGUCAUGUUAUAGCAAUGUAGGUAAGGGGAGUUGGCAAAAAAAGAUCCCUAACUUCGGGAUAAGGAUUGGCUCUAAGAGCUGGGUCGGUCGGACUGGGGUGCGAAGCGGGGCUGGGCUCGAGCCGCUGCUGGGGGAGCAGUCGCUCCGUCGCCCUCCUCUCGCCACCAUUGGAAGUUAAUUGUGUGGCCCAUCUCACGGUCUUGCAAGGGGCUGCGUGCGAGGGUUUGUUGGGGUGGUGUCCAUCGGUGGGCCGAAGGCGGACCAGUGGGGGGUUGGGUCCGGCAGUUGGCGGCGGAAACUCUGGACGCACGCCGGGCCCUUCUCGCGGAUCUCCUCAGCUACAGCGCUCGCCGGCCCCACACAUUGUAGGUGGGGAGGUCUCCUCUACACUCACUAGACUUGAGGCAGAGACUUAACCUAUUGGCCCCGCAGUGAUAGGGCAUUGCAUGGAUCUGGUUCAUGCCCUACAAAGUGGGGAGAGAUAUCUCCAGCUUGUCUGGGUAGGGAGGCCUACAUCUGAUGUGGGUAGUACCAUCCACGCCCAUUGAUUUGCCGCGGAACCAUAAAACGGACGGAAGAAGCCUAGGUUUCUACUGGGCACGGAUCACUGAAUUUCAACUUGAUGAAAUUCAAAGGAGCAUACCCACUUGUCGCCAUCGCACUCAAAUCACCCCCUCAUUUCAAAGUGAGGAAUAUCGAUGAAGCGCUGGUAAAGGUGGUUUCUAUGGCUCUGUCCCGGAGGGCUGUCUGGGCAAGCAAAUGAUUGAAAGACGAUUAUUCUUUUCUGCUGCUGUUGCUUCUUCUGACACCCGGUCGAUGGUGCCGCUAGAUACUGCGAUGGGUAUUUGGUUCUCAAGUCUAUAAGUAUUGCGCUGGCACUUGAUGUCGAUUGGGUGUAAAAACCCAGUUAAAGUCCGCUGAAGGUUAGUAGCGGCAACUGAUGUCCAGUUUGUAAGACAGAAAAGCCUCUGACAAUACCAUUGGGCGUGACUCGAAUGGAUGUCAAUUUGAUGAUAUCUGACCGUAGCAUGCUACCCUUAGCAGUCGUACUCAAACCAUCUUCGUGGGUGGCUGUUACCCCCUCAUGUCAAAGUAAGGAAAUUCGAUGAAGCGGGGGUAAACGGCGGGACUUAAUUAAGUCUCUUGAGGUAGCCAAAUGCCUCGUCAUCUAAUUAAUGACGCACAUGAAUGAAGGAAAGUGAUUCCCACUGUCCCUACCUACUAUCUAGGGAAACCACAGCCCAGGGAACGGGCUUGACGGAAUCAGCGGGGAAAGAAAGACUGGGGCGGUUCACCUGUCAAACGGUCAGAAACUUCCCGUGGAGCAGAAGGGAAAAAGCUCGCUUGAUCUUGAUUUUCAGUAUGAAUACAGACCGUGAAGCAGGGCCUCACAAUCCUUCUGAAUUUUUGGCUUUUAAGCAGGAGGUGUUAGAAAAAUUACCAUAACGAUAACUGGCUUGUAGCGGCCAAGCGUUCAUAGCGACGUCGCUUUUUGAUCCUUCGCUGUCCGUUCUUCCUAUCACUGUGAAGCAGAAUUCACCAAGCGUUGGAUUGUUCACCCACUAAUAGGGAACGUGAGCUGGGUUUAGACCGUCGUGAGACCGGUUAGUUUUACCCUAUUGAUGAUUUGUUGUUGCAAUAGUAAUCCUGCUCAGUACGAGAGGAUAAGCAGGUUCAGACAUUUGGUGUAUUUGCUUGGUUGAGGAGCCAAUGGUGUGAAGCUAUCAUCUGUGGGAUUAUGACUGAACGCCUCUAAGUCAGAAUCCCCCUAAACAUAACGAUACCGUAGCGCUGCAGAUCUUCUGUUGGCCCAGGAUAGCCUGCAUCUUUUGGCAGGUGAGUAGAGCCGUUCGUGACAGGGUUGGGGUGCGGCCAGAUGGGUUGCCGCCCCUCUCCUGAUGCGCACCGUAUGUUUGUGGGGAACCUUGUGCUAAAUCACUCGUAGACGACCUGAUUCUGGGUCAUGGUUUCGUACGUAGCAGAGCAGCUCACUCGCUGCGAUCUAUUGAAAGUCAGCCCUCGAUCCAAGCUUUUGUCGGGGACGGAAGGCGUCUUCCUCCACCAUCCUCCUCCUUUACUUACGGGUUACCAGGUGCACGGAGAAGGACCAGAGGCCAGAGGCCAGACACAGAAUGUGAGGGAGCCCAGGCAGGCAGGUAGAAGGCAAGGGUAGAAGGUAAGACAUUGACAUUGGGCUCUGGAUAGGUAUGGGGCUAGAUGGUGGUUGUCCAUCUGCCCGGGCCCAUCCUUCGGGUUACCAGGUGCACAGAGCCUGUUUCGGGUUACCAGGUGCACAUCGUUCGUGACAGCAGGACUAUAGACAUCUUAGCAAUUCCAGGGAGUAAGCUAAAUUCUAAAGCCAAGGUAGAGGGGUGUUGAGGGGGUAGGGAGAGUAGGUGUGGAGGUCUGUAGUUCCAGGGAGUAAGCUAUACACUCUCUGGCCCAGGGAGAGGGCAGGCAGGCGAGCAGGGAGUGUAGGGCUUGAGGCAAUGUGCAAUGUGUAGGCCCACUGAGUGUACAUUCUGAACAUUGUUUGAAGUCAGUAGGUCACAUGACCAAGGAGCUAUUGAAAUUCUAAAGUUUACAAAAUUAAUGUAAAAUCGUGUGAGAUGGAUAUGGACAAACUAAAGGGUGUGCAAUAUACAAGGGUAGUCAGUGGACAUUCUGAACCUUGUUUGAAGUCAGUAGGUCACAUGACCAAGGAGCUAUUGAAUUUCAAACAUUUAAAUAAACAAUUUAAAAUGGAGUGAGAUGUAAACCGACCAACGAAAGUGUGUGCAAUGUGUGUCUAUGCCAUUUGGUUAGCUAGAACUAGUUUUGAAAGUUUUAGGAGUAAUGGUUAAAGAGCUAUUGAAAUUGGAAAAAUAUGAUUUGUCACUAUGUUGACGGUCCCUAACUGCUGUUGGUGGACGUAAGGAAAACUACAGGCGAAUAUCUGUGGAAAAUCCAACCUGAAACUGGCUUUACCUCGGUUAAAUUAACCUACUCUUGGUGCGCUAGCACACACUUUUCUUCCGUGAUACAUUUGAUUUUUGCACUAUUUGUAUUAGUUAGUUAGUCAGUCAGUCAAACAUGUGUCUCUGCACACUCUCUCUGACAAAUGCAGUUGAAAAGGAGAGCUGUGAAAUCUCCUCACCAGAGUUCUGUUAGGCUGUAAUGCACUUCACUUUAUUGCUGAGUGACAACUGUAAUAGCUAGCUAGUGAUAUUAUUGUCAUACCAGUGGCAUUACUGUAAACUGUUAUAGUUUUUACAAUAUAUGUUGCCAUGCCAAGGCGUUUUGCUUUUUUUUCACAGACCAGCAUGGUGUUGGUGGGCUUUUACACAAGAUGGAAAAAGACUGCUCCCUGACUUUUGAGGCCCAUGCGCUGGGGAAGGCUGGUGUUCAGGGACACCGUGCUACUGUAGUUCAUGCUGGGAGGGCUGCAGAAACAACCUGGACAGUAGCAUAGUGCGUGUGAGGGGCGUGGUGGUGGUGGAGUGUGUCCUGUCCUGCAUGCACAUCAAUGUAGUCAAGCUCAAAUUUGGGGUACAGUAUGGAGCUGACCCAGACUCAAAGCUGGAUAGAACUGCCUCAAUUCAUCACAGCAUGGACUCUACAAGGUGUCGAAAGCGUUCCACAGGGCCCAUGUAGACUCUAAUGCUUCCCACGGUUGUGUCAAGUUGGUUAGAUGUCCUUUGGGUGGUGGACCAUUUUUGAUACACACAGAAAAUAGUUGUGUGAAAAACCCAACAGUGUUGCAGUUCUUGACACAAACCGGUACGCGUGGCACCUACUACUAUACCUCGGUCAAAGGCUCUUCAACCUGUGUCCUCCCCUUCAUCUAUACUGAUUGAAGUGGAUUUAACAAGUUACAUCCAUAAGGGAUCAUAGCUGGAUUCACCUGGUCAGUCUCUCAUGUAAAGAGCAGGUGUACCUAACGUUUUGUACACUAAGUGUACAUCCUGUACCAUGCACAAUUUUGACAAGGUGGAAGAUACAUACUGAAUUUAUACUGUUUUUGAUACUAAGAUGGACCAAGAUAUGUGUUUCUUUUUCACAUACUUGUUCAUUGGUUUUUGCAAGAGUUCCUUGGAUUUCCAAUAUGUUGAUGCCAUUGAUUAAAAGAGAAAGAAUAGGAUGCAAUGUCCAACCCAAAAUAUAAGCUUGUUUUACUCCAUUGUUUAUAAAUAUAAUUGUUCAAAUAAAUUCUGUUGGUUGCAUAAAUAAUGAUGAUUACUAAAAGUUACAUGAACUGUAAAUAUGAACCAUCAAAACCAAAUGGAAACCCCUUUUGUUAAUAUGUAUUGGCAAUAAUAAUGGUGAGGCAUGGAGUAAUUAAACAUGUAUCUUUUGGAUGUUUGAAAUAUGAGUAGGAUGUUUGAAAUAUGAGUAGGAUGUUUGAAAUACAGCAUGAGUAGGUGAUUUGAGUCAUGCUUCUUCAGUAGUGGAAUAAAGACAUUUAGCACUUGAAUGUUGUCAAUAAAUACUCUGUAAGUACUGCAGUGCUGUAUGAUUGUUAAUAAAAUUGUUCGUAGACCAA